Molecule: ribosomal RNA, 762 nt
Filed under: uncultured bacterium
Lineage: Bacteria
Description: bacterial SSU rRNA
Rfam family: Bacterial small subunit ribosomal RNA
Source: RNAcentral
CGUUGAUACUGUAGAGCUAGAACAUAGAUGGAGUAGGCGGAAUGAAUCAUGUAGCGGUGACAUGCAUAGAUAUGAUUCAGAACACCGAUCGCGAAGGCAGCUUACUAAGCUAUAGUUGACGCUGAGGCACGAAAGCGUGGGGAUCGAACAGGAUUAGAUACCCUGGUAGUCCACGCUGUAAACGAUGAUAACUAGAUGUUGGCGAUAGACAGUCAGUGUCGCAGCGAAAGUGAUAAGUUAUCCACCUGGGGAGUACGAUCGCAAGGUUGAAACUCAAAGGAAUUGACGGGGGCCCGCACAAGCGGAGGAGCAUGUGGUUUAAUUCGAUGAUACGCGAGGAACCUUACCUGGACUUGAACGUAUUAGGCAUAAUUUGGAAACAGAUUAGUUAGCAAUAACCUAAUACGAGGUGCUGCAUGGUUGUCGUCAGCUCGUGCCGUGAGGUGUCAGGUUAAGUCCUAUAACGAGCGCAACCCCUACACAUAGUUACCAACACGUCAUGGUGGGGACUCUAUGUGGACUGCCGGCGCAAGCUGAGAGGAAGGUGGGGAUGACGUCAAAUCAGCACGGCCCUUACGUCCAGGGCGACACACGUGCUACAAUGGCAGGUACAGAGGGCAGCUACACAGUGAUGUGAUGCGAAUCUCAAAAGCCUGUCUCAGUUCGGAUUGGAGUCUGCAACCCGACUCCAUGAAGUUGGAUUCGCUAGUAAUCGCAGAUCAGCCAUGCUGCGGUGAAUACGUUCCCGGGCCUUGUACACAC